CCUACGGGGGGCAGCAGUGGGGAAUAUUGGACAAUGGGGGGAACCCUGAUCCAGCCAUGCCGCGUGUGUGAAGAAGGCCCUCGGGUUGUAAAGCACUUUCAGUGAGGAAGAACGCCUGGUGGUUAAUACCCAUCAGGAAAGACAUCACUCACAGAAGAAGCACCGGCUAACUCCGUGCCAGCAGCCGCGGUAAUACGGAGGGUGCGAGCGUUAAUCGGAAUUACUGGGCGUAAAGCGCGCGUAGGUGGCUUGAUAAGCCGGUUGUGAAAGCCCCGGGCUCAACCUGGGAACGGCAUCCGGAACUGUCAAGCUAGAGUGCAGGAGAGGAAGGUAGAAUUCCCGGUGUAGCGGUGAAAUGCGUAGAGAUCGGGAGGAAUACCAGUGGCGAAGGCGGCCUUCUGGACUGACACUGACACUGAGGUGCGAAGGCGUGGGUAGCAAACAGGAUUAGAUACCCGUGUAGUC
This 465-nucleotide ribosomal RNA is filed under the name Vreelandella stevensii. Its description in RNAcentral is "partial 16S ribosomal RNA". It matches the Rfam family "Bacterial small subunit ribosomal RNA", at positions 338 to 795 of the family's 1533-position model. The record is from RNAcentral. Lineage: Bacteria; Pseudomonadati; Pseudomonadota; Gammaproteobacteria; Oceanospirillales; Halomonadaceae.